AUUGAACGCUGGCGGAAUGCUUUACACAUGCAAGUCGAACGGCAGCACGGACUUCGGUCUGGUGGCGAGUGGCGAACGGGUGAGUAAUACAUCGGAACGUGCCCAGUCGUGGGGGAUAACGUAGCGAAAGCUACGCUAAUACCGCAUACGAUCUAAGGAUGAAAGCGGGGGAUCGCAAGACCUCGCGCGAUUGGAGCGGCCGACGGCAGAUUAGGUAGUUGGUAGGGUAAAGGCCUACCAAGCCGACGAUCUGUAGCUGGUCUGAGAGGAUGAUCAGCCACACUGGGACGGAGACACGGCCCAGACUCCUACGGGAGGCAGCAGUGGGGAAUUUUGGACAAUGGGCGCAAGCCUGAUCCAGCCAUUCCGCGUGCAGGAUGAAGGCCUUCGGGUUGUAAACUGCUUUUGUACAGAACGAAAAGGCUCUGGUUAAUACCCGGGGCUCAUGACGGUACUGUAAGAACAAGCACCGGCUAACUACGUGCCAGCCGCCGCCGUAA
This 500-nucleotide ribosomal RNA is filed under the name uncultured bacterium. RNAcentral describes it as "partial 16S ribosomal RNA". It matches the Rfam family "Bacterial small subunit ribosomal RNA", at positions 30 to 523 of the family's 1533-position model. The record is from RNAcentral.